Long non-coding RNA from Pristis pectinata (smalltooth sawfish), 318 nucleotides. RefSeq lists it as uncharacterized. The record is from RefSeq and is a predicted model, not a curated record. NCBI's taxonomy places the organism in Eukaryota, Metazoa, Chordata, Chondrichthyes, Rhinopristiformes, Pristidae. The transcript is spliced from 3 exons.
GUGACACCCGGUACACGCUCACCUUCCUUGCCAAGCGGGUGCAGGUGUAGGGAAUGACGCGGCCUGGUGCUCACCUGGACAGAACCAAAAUAACUAAAAACAAAGAGGAGCCUUGAGCACCCUUGCACAGAUGAUUUCACGUAUUUGGUCAGAAUAAGCAUUAUCACGAGUACACCAGUGACAAGGAAAAUUUUUGACAAGAGCAACCAAAACUGAUGGAAAAUCUUGAAAUGCCUGUGAAUCAAGACCACCUUAUGAUCAAUUAAAGCUCAAUCUUGUUUUGUAGUUCAACUACCAGGAAUUUCCAUUUUUGUUUUU